Molecule: long non-coding RNA, 986 nt
Organism: Bubalus bubalis (water buffalo)
Lineage: Eukaryota; Metazoa; Chordata; Mammalia; Artiodactyla; Bovidae
Exons: 2
Source: RefSeq, a predicted model, not a curated record
GGAGCCUACGCCCGCGCGGGCCGCUGAGCGGAGUCCUCUGGGUGGGACCGUCGGUGACCUGGGUGACCUCCCCGUUGGUUCCCUAGAGUGGCUGGGGACGUGGUCUACUUACUAACCCAACCUCAAACCGCCUCGCCUCGACUCUGGCGGUAACUCCCUCCUCCAGCAGCUAAAGGGCCAUUUCCGAUCUAGAGCCGGGUUUCUCCGAGGGCUCUUCCGUGGCGGAACUGAACGAAGGGGGUGGUCAGUUGGAAAGAUCUUCAACCAACCAGGCGUCAGUCUCGUGCCCACAGUCCGUGAGACAAGUGCUCGGAGUUUUCUCCCCCAACCCCGCCCCAGGUCCCGCAGUGCCCGCGAAGCCUGAUCGCGCUCGGCCUGGGGACAAUGAACACGUGCAAGACCUGGUUGGGCUGCCUCGGACUCCGGGGGCAGAAAGAUUUCACAACGGUCGAGAGGGAGGAGCGCCCCAACCUCGUCACUUCUAAGAAGGCCCAGGCCAGCCAGGGUCGCGAGGGGAAGCGGGAAGAGACGCCUAGAAACCCGAAAGACGGAAGGCUUCGGCCACGCCCCGCGCACGCGCGGCACACUCUUCCCUUGCGUGGCUGUGGCCGAGCGGCUUCCUCCGCCGGCUGCCGGAUCUAGCUCGCCGGUCUUUUCCGUCUGCCCGCUUUCUGUCCCUGCGCAGUCGCGUCGUCGCCCGCCACUCCCUUCGCCCCUCCCUCCGCAGCGCCGGCCUCUUGUGACGUCAGCGGCAGACCCCGCCUUCUUAGUCCUAAUCUGAUGCCAAGUGCAGGGCGUGCCGGGUAUGGAGGUCGCCGGCUUCUCCUCAGGCCUGAACCUCUCUUGGAAAGGAAACCUCUUUUGUAAUUUCCUAAAACUUCGAAUUAAGCCUGUAAACUGUGUUCGUUUCCUAAUAAGGGUGAAAACGGCCCCUCACCCUAGUUGAUCUUCCAAGCUAGAAGUUCUAUUAAAAGGAAACUGCAAAA